This 74-nucleotide transfer RNA is filed under the name Thermoplasmata archaeon. RNAcentral's name for it is "tRNA-Val". It matches the Rfam family "tRNA". From Rfam's summary of the family: Transfer RNA (tRNA) molecules are approximately 80 nucleotides in length. Their secondary structure includes four short double-helical elements and three loops (D, anti-codon, and T loops). RNAcentral also lists the same sequence under 4 other names. Lineage: Archaea; Methanobacteriati; Thermoplasmatota; Thermoplasmata. The record is from RNAcentral.
GGGCUCGUGGUCUAGUUGGUUAUGACGUCUCCCUGACACGGAGGAGGUCUUGAGUUCGAAUCUCAACGAGCCCA